This 547-nucleotide ribosomal RNA is filed under the name uncultured bacterium. RNAcentral describes it as "bacterial SSU rRNA". It matches the Rfam family "Bacterial small subunit ribosomal RNA", at positions 355 to 896 of the family's 1533-position model. The record is from RNAcentral.
UGGGGAAUAUUGCGCAAUGGGGGGAACCCUGACGCAGCCAUGCCGCGUGAAUGAAGAAGGCCUUAGGGUUGUAAAGUUCUUUCGGUAUCGAGGAAGGUUGAUGUGUUAAUAGCACAUCAAAUUGACGUUAAAUACAGAAGAAGCACCGGCUAACUCCGUGCCAGCAGCCGCGGUAAUACGGAGGGUGCGAGCGUUAAUCGGAAUAACUGGGCGUAAAGGGCACGCAGGCGGUUAUUUAAGUGAGGUGUGAAAGCCCCGGGCUUAACCUGGGAAUUGCAUUUCAGACUGGGUAACUAGAGUACUUUAGGGAGGGGUAGAAUUCCACGUGUAGCGGUGAAAUGCGUAGAGAUGUGGAGGAAUACCGAAGGCGAAGGCAGCCCCUUGGGAAUGUACUGACGCUCAUGUGCGAAAGCGUGGGGAGCAAACAGGAUUAGAUACCCUGGUAGUCCACGCUGUAAACGCUGUCGAUUUGGGGGUUGGGGUUUAACUUUGGCGCCCGUAGCUAACGUGAUAAAUCGACCGCCUGGGGAGUACGGCCGCAAGGUUA